UACGUAGGGUGUGAGCGUUAAUCGGAAUUACUGGGCGUAAAGCGUGCGCAGGCGGUUUCGUAAGCCAGACGUGAAAUCCCCGAGCUUAACUUGGGAACUCCGCUUGGUACUGCGAGGCUAGAGUACGGCAGAGGGAGGUGGAAUUCCACGUGUAGCAGUGAAAUGCGUAGAUAUGUGGAGGAACACCGAUGGCGAAGGCAGCCUCCUGGGCUAGUACUGACGCUCAUGCACGAAAGCGUGGGGAGCAAACAGG
Molecule: ribosomal RNA, 253 nt
Filed under: uncultured bacterium
Lineage: Bacteria
Description: partial 16S ribosomal RNA
Rfam family: Bacterial small subunit ribosomal RNA
Source: RNAcentral